This 315-nucleotide unclassified non-coding RNA is filed under the name Hevea brasiliensis (rubber tree). Lineage: Eukaryota; Viridiplantae; Streptophyta; Magnoliopsida; Malpighiales; Euphorbiaceae. The record is from RNAcentral.
AAAAAAACAAAAACUUUGGAUCAACAAGAGCAGCUCUGUGAGCUCAGUCGUGCGAUUGCUGUUCUAUCAUCGGCUUCUUCCGUAAGCCUGGAGCGUCAUGAGUUUUUGAGACUUGUCAAAAAAGAGAUUGAGUUGUACAACAGCAUGGUGGAUAAAGGCGGCCCUGAAGGUGAAGAAGAAGUCCGGAAGGCAUAUAAAGCAGCUAGGGAGGAGGAUAAUGACCACACUCAAGAAAGGACUGUGGAUGAUAAAGUUUCUUCAGCACUUAUUAAUAGGGUUGAUGUAAUGCUCCAAAAACUUGAAAAGGAAAUUGAU